UUAUCUAUAAAAUAGUGAAUUUUUAAUUUUGCUCCUAUAUUUUUGAAAAUUGUUUUCACCUCAUCUCUUAUGUCUGGCUCUGGUUACUAGCUGUAGCGACUCUUCUUCACUAAGAACAGCUGCUGUGGAGAGAAAGUGUGAAAGAUAAAUGUACAUGCAGAUUUAAAGGUCAUAGUGAGAAAAGCAUUAUUGAGAGAGAUGAUGGCAUUUCAUUCAACCCUACAACUUAUAAGUGACAAUAAGGGUCCAUGUGGGGCUAGGUGGUUGAAGCUUUCUUAUAUAACCACAGGCAAGUUUUUUUAGCUUUGCUCUUACAAUUUUGCCAGUUUGAGAUUCAAUGACUCAAACAAAUAGGUGAUGAUGAGCACAUACAAUUCACCAUUUUCUCUUCUCUAUCUCUCACCAUAUACAAUUGAGUAGCUGGCAACCUGGCAUAUCCCCUUCUUCUACAUGUGCAUACCUUCCCUAUAAUUGGAUAUAUUAUAUGUGUAAGCAAGUAGGAACUCUCUACCUACAUUAAUCCUUUCUUUCCUUUCUCUUUCUUAGUUUUAUAUUACAGUUAUAUGUAACAUCAUCUAUGACUGCCAUUAUCCUCCUAAUAAAUUAAUUUACUUUAUGGUGUUUGGUUACCAGGA
This 635-nucleotide long non-coding RNA is filed under the name Jatropha curcas. Its description in RNAcentral is "long non-coding RNA (JCUR_LNC002974)". The record is from RNAcentral. Lineage: Eukaryota; Viridiplantae; Streptophyta; Magnoliopsida; Malpighiales; Euphorbiaceae.